Molecule: ribosomal RNA, 312 nt
Filed under: bacterium enrichment culture clone ALO1_GLFRUDD03GZZNF
Lineage: Bacteria
Description: bacterial SSU rRNA
Rfam family: Bacterial small subunit ribosomal RNA
Source: RNAcentral
GAGUUUGAUCCUGGCUCAGAUUGAACGCUGGCGGCAUGCCUUACACAUGCAAGUCGAGCGGAUGACGGGAGCUUGCUCCCUUGAUUUCAGCGGCGGACGGGUGAGUAAUGCCUAGGAAUCUGCCUGGUAGUGGGGGACAACGUUUCGAAAGGAACGCUAAUACCGCAUACGUCCUACGGGAGAAAGCAGGGGACCUUCGGGCCUUGCGCUAUCAGAUGAGCCUAGGUCGGAUUAGCUAGUUGGUGGGGUAAAUGGCUUCACCAAAGGCGACGAUCCGUAACUGGUCUGAGAGGAUGAUCAGUCACACUGGAA